CCUACGGGAGGCUGCAGUGGGGAAUAUUGGACAAUGGGCGAAAGCCUGAUCCAGCCAUGCCGCGUGUGUGAGGAAGGCCUUCGGGUUGUAAAGCACUUUCAGUGGGGAAGAAAGCCUUGGGGCUAAUACCCUCGAGGAAGGACAUCACCCACAGAAGAAGCACCGGCUAACUCCGUGCCAGCAGCCGCGGUAAUACGGAGGGUGCGAGCGUUAAUCGGAAUUACUGGGCGUAAAGCGCGCGUAGGCGGUCUGAUAAGCCGGUUGUGAAAGCCCCGGGCUCAACCUGGGAACGGCAUCCGGAACUGUCAGGCUAGAGUGCAGGAGAGGAAGGUAGAAUUCCCGGUGUAGCGGUGAAAUGCGUAGAGAUCGGGAGGAAUACCAGUGGCGAAGGCGGCCUUCUGGACUGACACUGACGCUGAGGUGCGAAAGCGUGGGUAGCAAACAGGAUUAGAUACCCCGGUAGUC
Molecule: ribosomal RNA, 465 nt
Filed under: Vreelandella stevensii
Lineage: Bacteria; Pseudomonadati; Pseudomonadota; Gammaproteobacteria; Oceanospirillales; Halomonadaceae
Description: partial 16S ribosomal RNA
Rfam family: Bacterial small subunit ribosomal RNA
Source: RNAcentral